GAUGAACGCUGGCGGCGUGCCUAAUACAUGCAAGUCGAGCGAACGGACGAGAAGCUUGCUUCUCUGAUGUUAGCGGCGGACGGGUGAGUAACACGUGGAUAACCUACCUAUAAGACUGGGAUAACUUCGGGAAACCGGAGCUAAUACCGGAUAAUAUUUUGAACCGCAUGGUUCAAAAGUGAAAGACGGUCUUGCUGUCACUUAUAGAUGGAUCCGCGCUGCAUUAGCUAGUUGGUAAGGUAACGGCUUACCAAGGCAACGAUGCAUAGCCGACCUGAGAGGGUGAUCGGCCACACGGGAACAGAGACACGGUCCAGACUCCGACGGGAGGCAGCAGUAGGGAAUCUUCCGCAAUGGGCGAAAGCCUGACGGAGCAACGCCGCGGGAGUGAUGAAGGUCUUCGGAUCGUAAAACUCUGUUAUUAGGGAGGAACAUAUGUGUAAGUAACUGUGCACAUCUUGACGGUACCUAAUCAGAAAGCCACGGCUAACUACGUG
This 497-nucleotide ribosomal RNA is filed under the name uncultured bacterium. RNAcentral describes it as "partial 16S ribosomal RNA". It matches the Rfam family "Bacterial small subunit ribosomal RNA", at positions 28 to 507 of the family's 1533-position model. The record is from RNAcentral.